RNAcentral lists this long non-coding RNA (1833 nucleotides) under Hordeum vulgare. RNAcentral's name for it is "long non-coding RNA (HVUL_LNC001438)". Lineage: Eukaryota; Viridiplantae; Streptophyta; Magnoliopsida; Poales; Poaceae. The record is from RNAcentral.
AAGUCACCGCUUCUCCAGCCGCCACCUCUUCACUUCCUCAUAUGCUCAGGAAUGAUCCGGUGGAGCAGCUCAACAGGGAGGCCUUCCAGCUCUGCGGCACACCAUGCCCAUGGGUUGCAACAGGUAAGGGUACAGAAAAAGCGCAACGCUCCACUUUUCAGUUCAAAAUAAUCGCACAGUCUUAGCUUUGUUUAGAGAAAGAAACUAUGUAUAGUUGUUAUUUACCAGCUCCCGUGAAGUUGAACAAUGGUGGUAAUGGCCGUCCAUUUGGCAAGCAGGUCUUGGGAUCCCGCAGUUCAUCAAAGAAUGGAUGGGCACAUGCGUCAACCUGCAAAAAUGUCUUAGUCAGAUAGUACUCGGCUUUUUCAGGGAUUUCUCUUCUUCAUUCAUGAGAUUAGUAGGGCCGUGAUACAUAGAUGCCAGGACAACACAACACUCUUUUUAGAAGCAAUCAAAAUUGUACUUUUACGUUAGCUAGAGAAAAAUGUAUAAUUUAGCGUUGGCAAGCAAUGAAUCUGUGCUGACUUGUUCAUAGCUUGGCUCAAAUAGCCCAAGAAUAAAAUCAUUCUUACAGCUGUGCAGCGCAGAUUUGGUGAGUACUGAAGUAGCCUUGACACAAGAUCAACUGCUUCAGGUGGCAUGCGCUUGCCAAAAAGCUGUGUGCAGAAGAAAAUUAGGCAAGCAGGUUGCAGCGGUCUAGGCUAACUGAAUACAAAUAGAGAGGUUACUAACCUUGUGCCAGGGAUGAGCUUUUAUCUGAGGGAACUUAAAUUCAGAGUAGUUUGGGUUCAUGCACCUGAUUUCUUCCCUUGUUGGGGUACCCAAAAUCUAGAAUAGGGAGAAGGAAUGAUGACUUCAACCUACUGAUCUAAAUUACUGGACUUUAAUGGUUUGGCGGGAGAUACAAACCUUUAUAAUUUCAACCAACUGAUCAACGCCACUUUCUCCAGGAAACAGAGGCUGCAAUUUCCCCCAAAAAAAGAGAACUCAACAAAAAAAGUCCAGCUCAUGUACAGAAAAGAGUUUGUCGACAGGAAAGUAAUUAUCAACUUGAUUUUUUCCAUGAAAGUAUUAGCCCUCUAAAGUGAAGCAACUUCAAAUGAAUUUGAUAACAUAUGCGUAGUUUAACAGAGCUUGAUUUGUGCAAUAUUUGCUUAUCCAAAUAUGCUUCAAUGAUACGAUAUGAGGCCUUGUAGAUGUUACUGAUCACACUCUAAUGUUGAGAAACAAAGGAGUAAUACGAUCUAUAAUGAUAAACAAAAAAUUAUGUGUCCACAGAAAUCAAUUGGUCUUGUUCAAGUAAGCAUAACUUCAACUAAUGAACUUGGCUGCAGGAAAACUGAGCUUAUAGAAUGAGAUUCUAUACCUGACCAAUCAGAAGCUCAGCUACUACACAACCAACAGACCAGAUAUCAAUUGCUGUGGUAUACUCUGUAGCUCCAAAUAUUAGUUCAGGAGCCCUAUAAUACCGCGAGCAGAUGUAUGAGAUGUUUGGCUCUCCAGGGACCUGAAAUAAAGCCAUGUACUGUCAAAUACAUGCAAAAACACAAGACCAAGAAAAUAAGUGACAAAAGCAUACCAGUUUUUUAGCACUCCCGAAAUCACAAAGCUUAAGUUGAUGCGUAUGAGGAUUGACCUGGAAGAUCAAUCCAUUGCUGUAAGUUGAUCGUUAUUUAUGAUACAAUCAAAUAAUAUUUGGAAAUAUUGCAGGCAGUCAUCAUUGAAGGAGGGAAUCUGCAAGCAUGCAAUGACACUGCACGUUCAAGCAAGAAGAUAUGUCUAAUAAUAGUCUAAUGAACUUACCAACAGAUUUUGCGGCUUAAUAUCUCGAUG